GACGAACGCUGGCGGCGUGCCUAAUACAUGCAAGUCGAGCGGACUGAUUAAGAGCUUGCUCUUAUGACGUUAGCGGCGGACGGGUGAGUAACACGUGGGCAACCUGCCCUGUAGAUCGGGAUAACACCGAGAAAUCGGUGCUAAUACCGGGUAAUAUCUGAGAUCACAUGAUCUUAGGUUAAAAGAUGGCUCCGGCUAUCACUACAGGCUGGGCCCGCGGCGCAUUAGCUAGUUGGUAAGGUAAUGGCUUACCAAGGCGACGAUGCGUAGCCGACCUGAGAGGGGGAUCGGCCACACUGGGACUGAGACACGGCCCAGACUCCUACGGGAGGCAGCAGUAGGGAAUCUUCCGCAAUGGACGAAAGUCUGACGGAGCAACGCCGCGUGAGUGAUGAAGGGGUUCGGCUCGUAAAGCUCUGUUGUUAGGGAAGAAACAGUACCGAACGAACUAGGUCGGUAACUUGACGGUACCUAACCAGAAAGCCACGGCUAACUACGUG
Molecule: ribosomal RNA, 500 nt
Filed under: uncultured bacterium
Lineage: Bacteria
Description: partial 16S ribosomal RNA
Rfam family: Bacterial small subunit ribosomal RNA
Source: RNAcentral